UUCUGUGGGAAAGAAAUUGUGCAAAACAAAACUUAGUAACUUUUUUGGUCAAACAGUUUUUUCCAAGGUACAGAAAGAACUUAAUUCUCAAUUGAAAUAUAUGAAUAAACUUGUGAUUAAGUGAAACAGCUACCUCUGCAAUGUCCGCUAUGAUUUCUAUAAGAAGGUUUAAAGUAAAAGCCUCCAUUUUUUCAAGUUGCUCCACAGUCUCCUGCACAAGGGAUCUUGUGAUGCCUUUACUUUUGGUCUGGACGUGCUUCCUGAGAGGAAAAAUCAUACAUUUAUUAUAUAUUUUCUUAUAAUACAUUAAACCUUGUAACUACGUGGUGAUUCAUGUCUUUUAACUGCAUUUCUAUAGUGUGUUGACUGCUCUUAUGUGUUUUAUUCUAAAUGUUAAGGAACAGUAAAUCUGAACUAAAUUAAUCAUUGGCAAAGAACCAGCAAUACUCACUUGAGUUCAUUACAGGUGGUCAAAGUCUUGAAGAAGUGUAUCGUUUCUGGUUUGUCUAGUUUUGCUUUUUUUCCAAGAAUGUCAUUCUGCUCAGUGGUGUACCUACAAAAUAAAAGAGAAUAUGCUGUUUAUUUCAUUAAAGGGCAAUGAAGAAAAAAAAUCGAAUAAAAACAAUUUAAACUCUG
Long non-coding RNA from Dicentrarchus labrax (European seabass), 636 nucleotides. RefSeq lists it as uncharacterized. The transcript has 2 exons. The record is from RefSeq and is a predicted model, not a curated record. NCBI's taxonomy places the organism in Eukaryota, Metazoa, Chordata, Actinopteri, Moronidae.